GAUGAACGCUGGCGGCAGGCCUAACACAUGCAAGUCGAGCGGCAGCGCGUCCGACCACCCUCGGGUGGUCGGAUGGCGGCGAGCGGCGGACGGGUGAGGAAUGCAUCGGAAUCUGCCUCGUUGUGGGGGAUAACGUAGGGAAACUUACGCUAAUACCGCAUACGACCUACGGGUGAAAGUGGGGGACCUUCGGGCCUCACGCGAUGAGAUGAGCCGAUGCCGGAUUAGCUAGUUGGCGGGGUAAAGGCCCACCAAGGCGACGAUCCGUAGCUGGUCUGAGAGGAUGAUCAGCCACACUGGAACUGAGACACGGUCCAGACUCCUACGGGAGGCAGCAGUGGGGGAAUAUUGGACAAUGGGGGGCAACCCUGAUCCAGCCAUGCCGCGUGUGUGAAGAAGGCC
This 402-nucleotide ribosomal RNA is filed under the name uncultured bacterium. RNAcentral describes it as "bacterial SSU rRNA". It matches the Rfam family "Bacterial small subunit ribosomal RNA", at positions 28 to 416 of the family's 1533-position model. The record is from RNAcentral.